CCUACGGGGGGCAGCAGUGGGGAAUAUUGGACAAUGGGGGCAACCCUGAUCCAGCCAUGCCGCGUGUGUGAAGAAGGCCCUCGGGUUGUAAAGCACUUUCAGUGAGGAAGAACGCCUGGUGGUUAAUACCCAUCAGGAAAGACAUCACUCACAGAAGAAGCACCGGCUAACUCCGUGCCAGCAGCCGCGGUAAUACGGAGGGUGCGAGCGUUAAUCGGAAUUACUGGGCGUAAAGCGCGCGUAGGUGGCUUGAUAAGCCGGUUGUGAAAGCCCCGGGCUCAACCUGGGAACGGCAUCCGGAACUGUCAAGCUAGAGUGCAGGAGAGGAAGGUAGAAUUCCCGGUGUAGCGGAGAAAUGCGUAGAGAUCGGGAGGAAUACCAGUGGCGAAGGCGGACUUCUGGACUGACACUGACACUGAGGUGCGAAAGCGUGGGUAGCAAACAGGAUUAGAUACCCCAGUAGUC
Molecule: ribosomal RNA, 465 nt
Filed under: Vreelandella stevensii
Lineage: Bacteria; Pseudomonadati; Pseudomonadota; Gammaproteobacteria; Oceanospirillales; Halomonadaceae
Description: partial 16S ribosomal RNA
Rfam family: Bacterial small subunit ribosomal RNA
Source: RNAcentral